Molecule: transfer RNA, 130 nt
Filed under: Colletotrichum tofieldiae
Lineage: Eukaryota; Fungi; Ascomycota; Sordariomycetes; Glomerellales; Glomerellaceae
Rfam family: tRNA
About the family: Transfer RNA (tRNA) molecules are approximately 80 nucleotides in length. Their secondary structure includes four short double-helical elements and three loops (D, anti-codon, and T loops). Further hydrogen bonds mediate the characteristic L-shaped molecular structure. tRNAs have two regions of fundamental functional importance: the anti-codon, which is responsible for specific mRNA codon recognition, and the 3' end, to which the tRNAs corresponding amino acid is attached (by aminoacyl-tRNA synthetases). tRNAs cope with the degeneracy of the genetic code in two manners: having more than one tRNA (with a specific anti-codon) for a particular amino acid; and 'wobble' base-pairing, i.e. permitting non-standard base-pairing at the 3rd anti-codon position.
Source: Rfam by way of RNAcentral
GGCAACUUGGCCGAGCGGUCUAAGGCGCCAGACUCAAGAUAACGGUUCGUUCAAGAGCCCGCGUCUUCCCUGGGUACCAGGGAGCAUUCUGGUCUCGAAAGAGGCGUGAGUUCGAAUCUCACAGUUGUCA